UGUUAAAGUAAAUUUGAAAAAAUCUGUAAUGUGUUUCUUGUAAAAUUAUCCUUGAACCAUACUCAAAUACAAAGUUUAUAUACAGUUGUACAAGUCUACAGCCACAGCAAAACGUUUCAAGAUCAUAUGCAUCUUAUUGCUAAGCACCAAGAAGAAGAAAAUGCUAGCUCGUUGCUUCCUGGAUAUCACAGAAUGGGUUUAUCAAGGAGUGCGGCAAAUUAGAGUCGCUCUCCUCGAUUUAGCCCAGCUAUAUGAUAGUGAAACAUCCAGAAUGAAGACUGUAUAUAUAUUUUUUAUAAAUUAUAACAUUCUUAUAUAAAACAUCUAUAUUUCUGGUAAAAAUAUU
Long non-coding RNA from Hydra vulgaris (swiftwater hydra), 346 nucleotides. RefSeq lists it as uncharacterized. Lineage: Eukaryota; Metazoa; Cnidaria; Hydrozoa; Anthoathecata; Hydridae. The record is from RefSeq and is a predicted model, not a curated record.